AUUCGAUGGAACCAUCAUGAGAUGGGGGACAUCUUCCGAUGGGUUGAGCAGGUGGAGGCGGACAUCAUGGAAUUGUUGUUAAGGGAGGAUCGGGAGGGGGGUCUCCGAGAGCCGGCUUUGCAGGAGCUUCGGGGCAAGCUCUCGGAGCACUACUCUCUGUUGAGGCAAUAGGAGACUUUUUGGAGGCAGAAGUCAAAGGUUUAGUGG
This 207-nucleotide long non-coding RNA is filed under the name Elaeis guineensis (African oil palm). Its description in RNAcentral is "long non-coding RNA (EGUI_LNC006196)". Lineage: Eukaryota; Viridiplantae; Streptophyta; Magnoliopsida; Arecales; Arecaceae. The record is from RNAcentral.